Molecule: ribosomal RNA, 253 nt
Filed under: uncultured bacterium
Lineage: Bacteria
Description: partial 16S ribosomal RNA
Rfam family: Bacterial small subunit ribosomal RNA
Source: RNAcentral
UACGGAGGGUGCAAGCGUUAUCCGGAUUCACUGGGUUUAAAGGGUGCGUAGGUGGGUCUGUAAGUCAGUGGUGAAAUCUCCGUGCUUAACAUGGAAACUGCCAUUGAUACUAUAGGUCUUGAAUUUUCUGGAGGUAAGCGGAAUAUGUCAUGUAGCGGUGAAAUGCUUAGAUAUGACAUAGAACACCAAUUGCGAAGGCAGCUUGCUAAACAAAUAUUGACGCUGAGGCACGAAAGCGUGGGGAUCAAACAGG